Long non-coding RNA from Anguilla anguilla (European eel), 741 nucleotides. RefSeq lists it as uncharacterized. The transcript is spliced from 5 exons. The record is from RefSeq and is a predicted model, not a curated record. NCBI's taxonomy places the organism in Eukaryota, Metazoa, Chordata, Actinopteri, Anguilliformes, Anguillidae.
CAUACCCAGCGCUGAGAGCUGAUCCCUGACGGCCUGGACCCACUGCUGCCGCACCGCCGCGUCCGCACACUGGAAGUGUGGUCUCCUGGGAAACGAGCAGAGGGGGCCGAGCACACUCCGGUGAAGAGGAGUGCUUCAGCUUCAUCAGGCGGCACCGCGACGCCCCCAAAAUGGCAAACGGCACCAGGACACCUACAGACAGGUCGCUGCGCUACAUGACAGAGUUGGGGCCCGAGCAGCAGCCCUGCACUUACCUGAGGAACUCCGACCUGUUCAAAUCUCCCCAGCCCUGGUCACAGCCAGCCAGCAUCAGUUAGGAGGUCUGGGCUGUGCAGUUGGAUGAGUGAGCCUGUGGCCUGGCGUGACCUCUCUUCCGGACCCUUCCACCAGCAGGUCUUCAUCCCGCACGGCUGGUGGCAGUUAUAGAAUCAAUACCGUAGAACUCAGGCCCCCCUUUUGUCAGGGAACUGACUGGCCGCCAUUCCAGUGCCGAACCCAGGAACCUUCCCUUACCGUGGAGCGGAUAUCGAUUCCCCCGAAGGGGUGUGGAGGAUGCAGUAACCAUGCCAACGGGAGCCUGUAUCAGACGCUAACGAGAUGGGCUUUGUAACCCAGGAGAACCGACCCUUCGCUGGUUAAAGACAGGAGCUCUGAAAAUAAACUGGACCCAAACUGCCCAUAAUUUACAGCUUGUAGACUUUGGUAAAUACCUCUGUGCUCUCCUACCAUGUGAGUGUGUCU